CUCUUCGAUGUCACAGUGGUGGUGUGUUCAUCAUCAGAGAUAUAAAAUGGCGUUUUGAGUUCUUCGGUUAUUCUUCGCUCAGUUAUUCAUUAUAAACCGUGCAUAUAAACUAUAAUAGUGCUUUGAAUGCAUUGUCGCAAGAAACCAACGAGCUUCUUCACCAAGUUGUAAGUUUCUUAGAACAAAUAAAAAAUUAAACUGACAUGGCAUUUUACGAAGGAAGGAAAUGAAACGAAUCAGAAAUGUAACUAAUAAAGCAUUUAAUGAAGAAACUAAAAUUCUUUCCACCAAGUUGUAAGUUCCUUAGGACAGAUGAAAUUAAACUGGCAUGAAAUUUUAUGAAGAAAGAAAUUAAAAACGUAAAUAUUAAAGGUAUUAGGAUCACUUAUUCGGAAACCAUUCGUCAAGUUUUAUUUUCUUCAGCCACACCAACCAAUUGACUGAAUCAAUCUACUAGCACACCAAAAUAAUUGGAAACUUCCGGGUUAAACACUCAGAACAUUUUUAAAGUUUAUACUCAUUUGGAGAUUGACAUAAGCACGAGUUGCUUAGAAUCGUUUUCCCCAGUUGUAUCAGGAUCAAUUAUCCGGAAACCACUCGUCGUGUCUUAUUUUCUUCAUCCAGUAGAAUCAAUUGAUUGAAUCAAUCACUAGCACACCAAAAUCAUUGAAAACUUCCGAGUUAGAACUCUCAGAACAUUAUUAAAGUCUAUACUCAUUUGGAGAAUGACAUAAGCACGAGUUGCAUAGAAUUGAUUUGCCCCAGUUGUGGACUUUCAUAAGUAUUUAGUAUGCAAUUUGUAACAAUGUAAUUUAUUCCUUCAAUAGUAUAUACUCACUUGUGUACAUGUUUAAUUGUCCCAACUAAGGUUUAUAACCUGCUGCUCCUGAAACAUUGGAGUUGAUGAAUUGACAAUUCUAACACGUAUCUAAAGGCUUAAUUAUUGAAGAUUACCCAUUACGGUUUUUAUGUAGUUCAUGAGGCUUAUUUAUCUCUUAUGGGUCAAUUGAAUUUAAGACAUUUUCUUUUUACCUUAUCAAGGGUUCAAUAGGUCAUUUUAAUGUUUUUAGUUUAACAUAUGACACUGGACAGUCAUUUCAUUUAGUUGUGUUGACUAAUUUUACCUAAUUUUUAUCCUCGAUGGAUUAUAAAUCCUAUUUAAUAUCUGUCCAUGAGGAUUUUCGUUAAUUUUUCAUUAUUUCAUUCUAAGGUUAUGAUUGUAAAUAAGUAACUGAUGUUUAUAAUAAUUUCAUUCUGUCUCCUUGGUUCUUUGCUUCAAAGAACUUCAAAGAAUCUCUCAAAAUAUUUUUCACUAAUAAUGAUAUCAUUUUUUUUAUUUGCUUUCUGAUUAUUUAUUUUAUGGUGUUGUAUGUAUGCUAGCAGGGUUUCUGUGUUAUUUAUAUUAUGACAAUAUCAUUCAAAUUUACUGUGAGUAAUCCUCUAAAUUUCUGUGAGUGAUAACAGUAAUUAUUCUUAUUCAUUAUCUGUUAAAAUUUUGUUUUCAGAUUUAUCAGUUUACCAAGCAUUGUGGUUAUUGUUGAUUCUUUUUUUAAGCAAAUAGUCAUAUAAAUGUCGCACCAACAAGGCCAACAUUUGUUGGACCUUAUAGAAUUCCCGUAUAUGGCCAGGUUUGUAACUGCUCAUGCGCUGCUACUGUAGUUCUACCUAGGCUGCCAAUCCUUUGAGUGUGUACCUCUUUUUAGGUAAACAAUGUGUUACUUCAAAGGGUCCGUGAUACUUU
This is a long non-coding RNA of Aethina tumida (small hive beetle), 1741 nucleotides long. RefSeq lists it as uncharacterized. Lineage: Eukaryota; Metazoa; Arthropoda; Insecta; Coleoptera; Nitidulidae. The record is from RefSeq and is a predicted model, not a curated record. The transcript has 5 exons.